Molecule: long non-coding RNA, 205 nt
Filed under: Nicotiana benthamiana
Lineage: Eukaryota; Viridiplantae; Streptophyta; Magnoliopsida; Solanales; Solanaceae
Description: long non-coding RNA (NBEN_LNC000191)
Source: RNAcentral
AACAGAGGCUACUUGUGGAGAUGUCUGCUUACUUGCUCGAUAUUUAAGGAACUCAUUAUACUACCGUUCAGAUACAGAAAAUCCAUGGUUACCUGUAGGCUCGGUCUGAGCAACAUAAGUAUUUUUGGGUGGUCGACCAUGCAAAGAAUAGCACACGUCACGAGUGUGACCAAGUUUAUGACAAUAAGAACACUUGGGUCUAGAU